Molecule: transfer RNA, 64 nt
Filed under: Myrmecophilus kubotai
Lineage: Eukaryota; Metazoa; Arthropoda; Insecta; Orthoptera; Myrmecophilidae
Description: tRNA-Gly
Source: RNAcentral
UCUUAAUUAGUAUAUUAAGUACACCUGACUUCCAAUCAGAUAGAUUGACUCAUCAAAUUAAGAA